This 1048-nucleotide ribosomal RNA is filed under the name Salmonella enterica subsp. enterica serovar Poona. RNAcentral describes it as "bacterial SSU rRNA". It matches the Rfam family "Bacterial small subunit ribosomal RNA", at positions 1 to 1043 of the family's 1533-position model. The record is from RNAcentral. Lineage: Bacteria; Pseudomonadati; Pseudomonadota; Gammaproteobacteria; Enterobacterales; Enterobacteriaceae.
GAAGAGUUUGAUCAUGGCUCAGAUUGAACGCUGGCGGCAGGCCUAACACAUGCAAGUCGAACGGUAACAGGAAGCAGCUUGCUGCUUUGCUGACGAGUGGCGGACGGGUGAGUAAUGUCUGGGAAACUGCCUGAUGGAGGGGGAUAACUACUGGAAACGGUGGCUAAUACCGCAUAACGUCGCAAGACCAAAGAGGGGGACCUUCGGGCCUCUUGCCAUCAGAUGUGCCCAGAUGGGAUUAGCUUGUUGGUGAGGUAACGGCUCACCAAGGCGACGAUCCCUAGCUGGUCUGAGAGGAUGACCAGCCACACUGGAACUGAGACACGGUCCAGACUCCUACGGGAGGCAGCAGUGGGGAAUAUUGCACAAUGGGCGCAAGCCUGAUGCAGCCAUGCCGCGUGUAUGAAGAAGGCCUUCGGGUUGUAAAGUACUUUCAGCGGGGAGGAAGGUGUUGUGGUUAAUAACCGCAGCAAUUGACGUUACCCGCAGAAGAAGCACCGGCUAACUCCGUGCCAGCAGCCGCGGUAAUACGGAGGGUGCAAGCGUUAAUCGGAAUUACUGGGCGUAAAGCGCACGCAGGCGGUCUGUCAAGUCGGAUGUGAAAUCCCCGGGCUCAACCUGGGAACUGCAUUCGAAACUGGCAGGCUUGAGUCUUGUAGAGGGGGGUAGAAUUCCAGGUGUAGCGGUGAAAUGCGUAGAGAUCUGGAGGAAUACCGGUGGCGAAGGCGGCCCCCUGGACAAAGACUGACGCUCAGGUGCGAAAGCGUGGGGAGCAAACAGGAUUAGAUACCCUGGUAGUCCACGCCGUAAACGAUGUCUACUUGGAGGUUGUGCCCUUGAGGCGUGGCUUCCGGAGCUAACGCGUUAAGUAGACCGCCUGGGGAGUACGGCCGCAAGGUUAAAACUCAAAUGAAUUGACGGGGGCCCGCACAAGCGGUGGAGCAUGUGGUUUAAUUCGAUGCAACGCGAAGAACCUUACCUGGUCUUGACAUCCACGGAAGAAUUCAGAGAUGGAUUUGUGCCUUCGGGAACCGUGAGACAGGUGCUG